Molecule: ribosomal RNA, 292 nt
Filed under: uncultured Planctomycetota bacterium
Lineage: Bacteria; Pseudomonadati; Planctomycetota
Description: uncultured planctomycete partial 16S ribosomal RNA
Source: RNAcentral
GGACUACUGGGGUAUCUAAUCCCGUUCGCUCCCCUGGCUUUCGUGCCUCAGCGUCAGUUGAGACCCAGUGUGUCGCUUUCGCCACCGGCGUUCCUUCCGAUAUCAACACAUUUCACCGCUCCACCGGAAGUUCCACACACCUCUAUCUCACUCGAGCCAUCCAGUUUAGGGCGCAGUUCCCCGGUUGAGCCGGGGGCUUUCACACCCUACUUAAAUGGCCGCCUACGCACCCUUUAAGCCCAGUGAUUCCGAAUAACGUUUGCACAGUUCGUAUUACCGCGGCUGCUGGCAC